GGCCAAUCCAUUAUGGGAGAGUAAUAGGAGUGUGGCACACAAUUACCAGGAGUUUAUUACAGAAUUUAAACUUACGGUUGAACCAUUAGACCCUUCUACUGCCCUGAUGCAUAUCAGACAAUGGAACUGGUCUAUCUCAGAGUAUGCCAUAGAAUUUUGUACCCUAGCUUCCGAGGUAGACUGGACUAAUAGUGGGUUAAUCUCUGC
Non-coding RNA from Pelobates cultripes (western spadefoot toad), 207 nucleotides. NCBI's taxonomy places the organism in Eukaryota, Metazoa, Chordata, Amphibia, Anura, Pelobatidae. The record is from the annotation of a GenBank genome assembly.